RNAcentral lists this unclassified non-coding RNA (211 nucleotides) under Hevea brasiliensis (rubber tree). Lineage: Eukaryota; Viridiplantae; Streptophyta; Magnoliopsida; Malpighiales; Euphorbiaceae. The record is from RNAcentral.
GGGGGGUCUGAAAGCUGAUUUGUUUGAUUGCUAAGAAACGAAUCGAAAACACCCAAUAGACAGUGAGACCAAAGCUAUAAUUUAGUAUAGAGUAUAAUAAUGAUCAACUGUUUGAUGAAUAUUCCCAAGUACUCUCUUUACUGCUACUUCAAUUCUUGUCACCUUUCUCAUUGAAAUGGAUGGAUUAUAUCUUUUACCCACCUCCAUUAUC